RNAcentral lists this transfer RNA (68 nucleotides) under Lema sp. LEM01. RNAcentral's name for it is "tRNA-Ile". The record is from RNAcentral. Lineage: Eukaryota; Metazoa; Arthropoda; Insecta; Coleoptera; Chrysomelidae.
UGUGAAGUGCCUGAAUUAAAAGGAGUAUCUUGAUAGGAUACCUAAUGCGACCCCACCCGCCUUCACAU